UCAGCUCGUCCAGCUUGCGCAGUUGCGCAACAGCUCGACGGGGUCCUGCUGCAGCGCGGCCUAGUCCGCGCGCCCCUCGGGUCGUUGCAUUGCGGCCACUCCACCCAAUCCUCUGCCUGUACUUCAUCUUCUUGUGCAGUGCAGAGAUGUUCAAAUUUAGAUCAGUACAUGUUCAACCACGGUAAGGCUACAAUGGUAAAAACAAGUUAUGUAUAUCUAAAGGAUUCAACCACAUUUCUGAAUUAACAAAAUAUUUAAAAAAGAAAAAUAAUCUACCUGAUAGGUUUUGUAAAGAUUAUUGUAGCUUCCAGUAACUCAUCACUGCUUCCAAUGCAUGAACACGUACAUGCUGGAGUUAUUCCUUGAAUAAGUAAAGGAGCAAUACAUAAUGCAUCUAUAAUAAAAAAGGUAACGUAUUUCUAUGUAUGGAAUCCUAGAUAAGGAUAAUUCUACUCCUAGUUUACUUGCUUCUAGGAUAUGUUUGAGUUCAUCUCUGAAAAUGGUAAUAACCUAGAAUCAUAAUCUCCAUCUUUUAUAUGCCUGUAACAGAUCUGUAUCAAUAUAAGGCACCCAGAAUAUGAUUCCAAGACAGAAACAUAGACAUAUAUGCUACUUUACCUAUUUGGAGAAAGGGACCGAGAUGAGGGAGUAGAG
RNAcentral lists this long non-coding RNA (654 nucleotides) under Zea mays. RNAcentral's name for it is "long non-coding RNA (ZMAY_LNC000630)". The record is from RNAcentral. Lineage: Eukaryota; Viridiplantae; Streptophyta; Magnoliopsida; Poales; Poaceae.